Non-coding RNA from Gossypium arboreum, 107 nucleotides. The record is from Rfam. Lineage: Eukaryota; Viridiplantae; Streptophyta; Magnoliopsida; Malvales; Malvaceae.
AACCCAUAGUUAGGGCACCUUCUCAAUAAGUCCUUGUAUCUCUCUCAUGCAUCAUAAAGAGUUUCUAGAUCCAUCUGCACAAAAGAAGAGAUAUCUUUCCUCAAUUU